AAUAGAUACCCUGGUAGUCCACGCCGUAAACGUUGGAUACUAGGUGUGGCGGUUAUACCAAUGACUGCCGUGCCGAAGCUAACGGCAUUAAGUAUCCCGCCUGGGGGAGUACGGCCGCAAGGACUAAAACUCAAAGGAAUUGACGGGUCCCCGCACAAGCGGCGGAGCAUGCGGCUUAAUUCGAUGCAACCCGAAGAACCUUACCUGGGUUUGACAUCACGGGAAAAGCUGUAGAAAUACAGUGUCCAUUAGGGCCCGUGACAGGUGGUGCAUGGCUGUCGUCAGCUCGUGUCGUGAGAUGUUGGGUUAAGUCCCGCAACGAGCGCAACCCUUGUCCUAUGUUGCCAGCGGUUCGGCCGGGGACUCAUAGGAGACUGCCGGGGAUAACUCGGAGGAAGGUGAGGACGACGUCAAGUCAUCAUGCCCCUUAUAUCCAGGGCUGCACGCAUGCUACAAUGGCCGGUACAACGGGCAGCGACCCCGCGAGGGUGAGCGAAUCCUAAAAAGCCGGUCCUAGUUCGGAUUGAAGUCUGCGACUCGACUU
This 544-nucleotide ribosomal RNA is filed under the name uncultured bacterium. RNAcentral's name for it is "bacterial SSU rRNA". It matches the Rfam family "Bacterial small subunit ribosomal RNA", at positions 777 to 1318 of the family's 1533-position model. The record is from RNAcentral.